Molecule: ribosomal RNA, 116 nt
Filed under: Listeria monocytogenes
Lineage: Bacteria; Bacillati; Bacillota; Bacilli; Caryophanales; Listeriaceae
Source: RNAcentral
GCUCGUAGUUAGCGCGAGAAGGUCACACCCGUUCCCAUCCCGAACACGGUAGUUAAGCUUCUCUGCGCCAAUGGUAGUUGGGGGCUUCCCCCUGCGAGAGUAGGUCGCUGCCGGGC